This 3505-nucleotide long non-coding RNA is filed under the name Sus scrofa (pig). RNAcentral describes it as "lncRNA (ENSSSCG00050002845.1)". The record is from RNAcentral. Lineage: Eukaryota; Metazoa; Chordata; Mammalia; Artiodactyla; Suidae.
UAUGACUUUUCCAUGAUGUAAUUAUCAGAUUUGUCUUUGUUUUGAUACUAGUUCAUCUGAACUUCCUAGAUUUCUUGUACUGUUUUACUGAUCCAAUAAGCUAACAUAAUGUUUAUGAUUAUGGAUAACGUUAAAUUGUGCUCAUCUAAAUGAAUUAAUGUCUGACAGAUAGUUUUAUAUGAGUAGUAAUUGUGUUUUCUAAUGUGUCAGCUUAAAAUAUAAUGUCAAAAAGCACUAGUUAACUUCACAAUCUUGGAUUAAUAUUAAACCUAUUUAGUAAGUAAACUUUGGAUUCUUGGAUAAUUCUUUUAAGUAAGAAAGACUGUUGAGGCGUUCCCAUUGUGGCUCAGCAGUAAUGAACCCAAUUAGAACCGUGAAGAUGCAGGUUCGAUCCCUGGCCUCGCUCAAUGGGUUAAGGGUCCGGUAUUGCCAUAAGCUGUGGUGUAGGUCACAGAUGUGGCUCGGAUCCCACUUUGCUGAGGCUGUGGUGUAGGCCGGCAGCUACAGCUCUGCUUUGAUCCCUAACCUGGGAAUUUCUGUAUGCUGUGGAAAUAGCCCUAAAAAGAAAAAAACAGAAACUACAGACAAAGAGUCAGAAGUCCUGGGGUUGACCCUGAAGAGUUAGGCUGAAGGAAAUGUGAUUUUCCAUGAUUUACUCUAUGGGGCAGAAUAAAAAGGAAAUGUUUUUACAUUCUGUGACAGCUCAUACCUACUAUACUCAGAAUGGUGCUAGAAUACAUAGGUGAAGAAACACAUUUUUCAGGUCAAUGUUUUGACAAAUCUGUAUGUUCAGUGACUUUUUUUUUUUUUUUUUUGGCAUGGUUCUACCAAUUUUUGAGAAGGCCGUUAAAAUCUACAAUCACUUGGGAGUUCCCAUUGUGGCUCAGCAGAAAUGAGUCUAACUAGUAUCCAUAAAGAUGAGGGUUGGAUCCCUGGCCUUGCUCAGUGGGUUAAGGAUCCAGAGUUGCCAUGAGCUGUGGUGUGUGUGGGUCACAGAUAAGGCUCAGAUCCCAUGUUGCUCUUGCUGCAUCUGUGGUGUAGGCUGGCAGCUGCAGGUCUGAUUCAACCCCUAGCCUUGGAACUUCAUAUGCUGCAGGUGCAGCCCUAAAAAGACAAAAACAAAAACAAAAGAGAGAGAGCAUACUGAUACUUUGAGCUUUUAGAUUUGUCACUUCAGUCCUGAGUUUAGUAUAUAAGACAGGUUAUACUUUUGGGUCUUGCUAAUGAACGUGUACUGUUAUUUUUGUCACUUUUCAGAGAGAUAAAAUUGAUGCGUGUGACUCUAGGAUGUGUAACUUUGCUUGUCUGCUGAACCGCUUGUGUAGGAUAAUAUCAAUUAUGUACUUCCCAGCUAAAUAGAAGAUAGUUAAUCUGGUUAACUGCUAUAGUUCUUCCUGGUAUUUAGGUCAAUAAUUGAGUAUAUGCAAUAAGAGUUUUUCUAAGGAAAAAGCAAAAAGAUUUGUCCUAAAAUAAAAUGGGAGAUUGCCCCAAACCAUAAAAGAAUAUAGUUAAGGGCAAAACUUGAUUUUGUGCAGCUGGGUGAAUACGGUUUGAGAGAAGUGAAAUUUAUUUUACUUGGUUUAUAUUACUUAAGAUAGGAAAGAAUUAUCAAGAAUGGUAAAAUAUUGGCAAAGUUCCCUCAGGUUGAGAGUUUAUUCAGAGGGUAUUUUUUAAGGAGCUUAUGAUCUUUUUGUUUUCAAGUAUUGUAUUAAUACAUUUAGAACAUGGUUUUCUCGCUGGUAGGAGAACUUUGUGUAGAGCAUUUAGCUUGCAUUUAACAAGGUAUAGUAAAUGAGUUGUUUGCUAUGCCUUCUCUUCAGUCUUCCCAGAUUGUAGAUAAUCUGUAAUAAUUUUCUGUACCCAGGAUUGACUAUAUCACGCCCUUGACUAAAAAAUACUACAGAAAAUAAAAAGUUACUCAUUCACACCAUAAAAGGAGAUACAUGGGAAAAAAUAGGGUUUUUUUUUGUUAUGCUUCAUAUUUCUUAAUUAGCUCCAAGAGUAUCUGUCACAUUUCCAUGAGUAGAGUCAUAAAAGCAAAGGAUAAUUUUGUAUAGUAAAAUGCUGCUAGUAUAAAUCUUUUCAGAGAUUACAGCUGGUUUGGAAGAUUUCGGAGGUGUUUAAUACCUUCACUGCUGAUAAUGUCUUUAGGUUCAGAGAAAACAUAAAGUAAAUCCUUAUGAAAGAAUUACAUGCUGUACCCAAUAGCAGAUUUUACUCUCUACCAUUCUAAUGUUGCUGGUUACAGCAGUAAAUGAGCUAUGGUCAUUCCAUUCUAUCUGCAGCUGUAAGGUUUACUGUCUUGCUAUAAGUGAAGAUCAGAAUUUUUGUCUUCAGCCAAAAAGAACGGCUUCAGAGCUUCAAGGAAUAGAAUGUGACAGAUGCUCAAAAAUUGAUACUUCAAAGAAUCAUGUCUUACAUAGAUUCCCAGGCUGACUUGCCUUGUGUGUCUUUGAGGGUGUGCCAGGGGACUGAAUCCAGAUUUCCAGGGCUGUUUUUAGUCCAGAAGCAGACAACUUCAUGAAAGUAGAGGAAGCCCCAGGAGCAUUUGGUAUUGAAGGCCGGUGGGGCUUGUAUGCAAGAGCUCCACAGGACUGAGGAAAAUGGAGACCCAUCUUUUUUUUUUUUUUUUUUUUUUUUUUUUGCCAUUUCUUGGGCCGCUCUGGUGGCAUAUGGAGGUUCCCAGGCUAGGGGUCCAAUCGGAGCUGUAGCCACACGCCUACGCCAGAGCCAUAGCAACGCCAUAGCAACGCCAGAUCCGAGCUGCGUCUGCGACCUACACCAUAGCUCACGGCAACACUGGAUCCUUAACCCACUGAGCAAGGCCAGGAAUUGAACCCACAACCUCAUGGUUCCUAGUCGGAUUCGUUAACCACCGAGCCAUGACGGGAACUCCUCCAAAGACCCCAUUCUUGAAAGGCACACAGUCUUUCAUGUGCACCGGGGCCUAGGGCAAAGCAGACUCCACAGGACUCUGUCAGACAUGGCUGCAGUUCUUGGAGGACCUCCUGGGAAAAGGAGGCGGGGACCGUGGCUCAUUAUUGAGGAAGGACAUUGGAGGCAAAGUUCUCAGGAAUAAUCAUCAGCGUGUGCUCCUCUAGAUGUGGCCAUUUUGGAAAAGUCUGGCCCCACUAAUCAGGGCUGAGAAGCCCCAGGCCAAAGAACAAACUGAGUGGGAACACAGCCCCACCCAUCAGCAAACAGGCUACCUAAAGAGCCCCUAGGCACACAACCACCUCUAAUCUCACCUAGAGACAAAGCCCCACCCACCAGAGGGAUAAGAAUCAGCUCCAUCUACUAGUGGGCAGGCCCCAGUCCUUCCCAUUAGGAAGCCUGCAACAAGACCCCAUACACAAUUCAGCCACUAGGAGGGCAGAUAUCAGAAGCAAGAGAGGCUACACCUCUAUUGUCUGCAAAAAAGGAGACAUUACCAAAAAUCUAUACAAAAUGAAAAGAAAGAGAAUUAUGACUCAGAUACGGGAAUAAGAAAAAAAAAAAAAAAAAA